This 64-nucleotide transfer RNA is filed under the name Ophiactis savignyi. RNAcentral describes it as "tRNA-Cys". It matches the Rfam family "tRNA". From Rfam's summary of the family: Transfer RNA (tRNA) molecules are approximately 80 nucleotides in length. The record is from RNAcentral. Lineage: Eukaryota; Metazoa; Echinodermata; Ophiuroidea; Amphilepidida; Ophiactidae.
GGUUAUAUAGUGUAACAGCACAUUAGAUUGCAAAUCUAAAAGUGACAAAAUAUGUCUAUAACUU